RNAcentral lists this ribosomal RNA (357 nucleotides) under uncultured soil bacterium. RNAcentral's name for it is "bacterial SSU rRNA". It matches the Rfam family "Bacterial small subunit ribosomal RNA", at positions 26 to 387 of the family's 1533-position model. The record is from RNAcentral.
AGAUUGAACGCUGGCGGCAUGCCUUACACAUGCAAGUCGAACGGUAACGCGGGGCAACCUGGCGACGAGUGGCGAACGGGUGAGUAAUGCAUCGGAACGUGCCCAGUAGUGGGGGAUAGCUCGGCGAAAGCCGGAUUAAUACCGCAUACGACCUAAGGGUGAAAGCGGGGGACCGUAAGGCCUCGCGCUAUUGGAGCGGCCGAUGUCAGAUUAGGUUGUUGGUGGGGUAAAAGCCUACCAAGCCGACGAUCUGUAGCUGGUCUGAGAGGACGACCAGCCACACUGGGACUGAGACACGGCCCAGACUCCUACGGAGGCAGCAGUGGGAAUUUUGGACAAGUGGGGGCAACCCGUGAU